RNAcentral lists this long non-coding RNA (1294 nucleotides) under Meleagris gallopavo (turkey). RNAcentral describes it as "lncRNA (ENSMGAG00000020736.1)". Lineage: Eukaryota; Metazoa; Chordata; Aves; Galliformes; Phasianidae. The record is from RNAcentral.
ACACUAUGAAUUAUUAUGAUUAUUUUCCUGAAACGAGCCAGACAGAUAUAUCCUCAAUCACAAAUAACUUCAGUGUCUGCCUAAUCUUACACAGGAAAUGAUCAAGUGUUGGAGAGUAAACACUUCUGGAUAGGGAUUUGCAGCAGCCAGCACCUUGGAAGGACUGAACAGAAUUGCAUUGGCUGAAAUGUAUACAUUUUGUUGCAAUAAAAAACCAAAACCAAAAACCAGAGUAUACAGCAGAUGCACUGAAUUGGCUCCCUGAUAGAUGUCAAAGCGUAGCUGUGGUGACAGAGAAGUCAGCAACUGGAGCGACUCCAAUUGGCUUUCCAAGGAUUCUUACUGAAAGAUUACUUAACAUUUUUAUUGAUAAUACAGACAGUGAUACUCAGGUAAAUCUUGCUAUUUAACAAACAGAUGACCAUAUUAAAGGAUGGCAUUAUUUUUCUCUUAUAGAUCGAUCUGAUGUGCUUUGCAGUCAAAGUAAUUUAAUUGUAGUUAAGUAUAAUGUAACACAUCUGGAAAAAAAUUAUUAUGGAUUAUAUGCUCAUGUAAAAUCUGCCUUAGAAAGCAGUAAUCACAGGAGAAAUGUAGAAAAAACUGUCUGAACAGGUGACCUUGGUGAAACAGUACAGCAAAAAGGGAUUAAUGUGACCUCUCAGAGGUCUGUAAAGGGGAACACAAAGUAGAAAGUGGGAUGCUGUCUUACCUCGGCACAUCUACUAUCAUAGUGUUGAUUUGCUUCCCAAUGUGUAUAGCUGUUUAUGAAGAUUACUUUAACAUUAUGCACAUAACUUUCUCUUAAAGUUAAUGGGAGGGUUCAGUAAUUCAAGGCCUUUUAGCACACAAAAGCUCUGACAUGGAAUAGACCUUGAGACUAGAAGCCUGGAUCAGCACAAACAACACGGAAUAAAUAUAAAGCAUACAACUUAGCAGUUCUUUUGAAGUACAGCAGCAAAAUGUGCUCAUCGAAAAGGUAUUUAUUCAAGUAUACAAAACACUGACUCACUCCGGAGAACAAAAAUGUAGCCUUGGGAGGGGAUAAAGUGACUUCAGUUGUGCAAGGAAGCUUUUAACUGGUAACACCUGAGUGUUGUUUGGUAACACAUGAAUAGCAGAAGUGCUGGCUGGGUAUUGGGAGUGGUCUCUGCGGCCAGCCAGAUGUGCCUUGCAAUAUAAAAAGGGUCUGUUAAGUCAGGGAAUGCCUAGCUGAAUAAAAAAUGGAACAUCCUUAGAUCUUAAGAUUAUAAUUAAGCUAAAACAUACUCAAUUUCAUAGCAUCAUAGAAUGGUUU